AGGGCGACCGGCCACACUGGGACUGAGACACGGCCCAGACUCCUACGGGAGGCAGCAGUGGGGAAUAUUGCACAAUGGGCGAAAGCCUGAUGCAGCGACGCCGCGUGAGGGAUGACGGCCUUCGGGUUGUAAACCUCUUUCAGCAGGGAAGAAGCGAAAGUGACGGUACCUGCAGAAGAAGCGCCGGCUAACUACGUGCCAGCAGCCGCGGUAAUACGUAGGGCGCAAGCGUUGUCCGGAAUUAUUGGGCGUAAAGAGCUCGUAGGCGGCUUGUCACGUCGGUUGUGAAAGCCCGGGGCUUAACCCCGGGUCUGCAGUCGAUACGGGCAGGCUAGAGUUCGGUAGGGGAGAUCGGAAUUCCUGGUGUAGCGGUGAAAUGCGCAGAUAUCAGGAGGAACACCGGUGGCGAAGGCGGAUCUCUGGGCCGAUACUGACGCUGAGGAGCGAAAGCGUGGGGAGCGAACAGGAUUAGAUACCCUGGUAGUCCACGCCGUAAACGGUGGGCACUAGGUGUGGGCAACAUUCCACGUUGUCCGUGCCGCAGCUAACGCAUUAAGUGCCCCGCCUGGGGGAGUACGGA
RNAcentral lists this ribosomal RNA (580 nucleotides) under Streptomyces sp. Its description in RNAcentral is "bacterial SSU rRNA". It matches the Rfam family "Bacterial small subunit ribosomal RNA", at positions 297 to 886 of the family's 1533-position model. Lineage: Bacteria; Bacillati; Actinomycetota; Actinomycetes; Kitasatosporales; Streptomycetaceae. The record is from RNAcentral.